Molecule: ribosomal RNA, 253 nt
Filed under: uncultured bacterium
Lineage: Bacteria
Also listed under: 1 other name
Description: partial 16S ribosomal RNA
Rfam family: Bacterial small subunit ribosomal RNA
Source: RNAcentral
GACGAGUCUGACGAACGUUAUUCGGAAUCACUGGGCUUAAAGGGUGCGUAGGCGGUAUGGUAAGUCGGAUGUGAAAUACCCUAGCUUAACUAGGGAACUGCACUCGAUACUACCGUGCUAGAGUAAGACAGAGGUGAGUGGAACUGAGAGUGGAGCGGUGAAAUGCGUUGAUAUUCUCAGGAACACCGGUGGCGAAGGCGACUCACUGGGUCUUUACUGACGCUGAUGCACGAAAGCUAGGGUAGCAAACGGG